AUGAAUGUUGAUGGUGCGGUCGCUCGCCACAGAAGAGGAGGAGCAGUUUCGGCAAUAUGUAGAGACAGUCAAGGAAUUUACCUUGGGUUCUCGGCGAUGGUGUAUCCCGGUGUGACCGGCCCAGUGAUGCUCGAGACAUUCGCCUGCAGGGAAGCUCUAUCACUUGCAGAGGAUCUUAAUCUGCAUAAGAUCACGGUGGCGUGUGACAGUCAGGGAGUGAUUGACGACAUCAACAAGGGGACGGGAGGACCCGCUGCUAUAGUACAUGAAAUAAUAGGGCGUAAGAGUGGUUUUCAGUUUUGUAAUUUCAUUCAUGAGCGUAGAAACUAUAACUUUGAGGCUCAUAAGCUCGCCAAGUUCUCUUGUAACCUGCAAUUAGGUAGACAUGUGUGGUUGGGAACUCCUCAUGACCCAACAGUUGUACCUAUGAACAUUGCGUUGGAAUAA
Molecule: ribosomal RNA, 447 nt
Filed under: Triticum aestivum (bread wheat)
Lineage: Eukaryota; Viridiplantae; Streptophyta; Magnoliopsida; Poales; Poaceae
Description: partial small subunit ribosomal RNA
Source: RNAcentral